RNAcentral lists this long non-coding RNA (290 nucleotides) under Phascolarctos cinereus (koala). RNAcentral's name for it is "lncRNA (ENSPCIG00000026164.2)". The record is from RNAcentral. Lineage: Eukaryota; Metazoa; Chordata; Mammalia; Diprotodontia; Phascolarctidae.
CAGGAGGCGCUGCCCGUCCUCCCUGCUAUUUCUGGAGCUGAAAGGUUGUCAGAUGCUGAGCCCUGGUGACCUGGGAGACGUGUAGGCUGCCUUCUUCCCACAGACCUUCGAAGGCCAUCCGCAGCUGCGCACGGCACAGCAGUGGAACAAACGGGAGACGAUGGAAACUGGAGGAGAGGAGAUGAGCUGAGCUGGAGUCCACCUGACACCUUCCCUGUCUUCCCGACUGAGGAGGAUGAGAGAUGAAGGCAAGCAGUCAUGUACUUGUGCCCCUAAAUACUAAGAUAAAA